CUGUCUUAUUCAUCCUAACGUAUUCUUUCAGAGGAGCACUAUAUCAACAUUCCCAAUCAAAGGAAGAAAUUUCAACAGGAUUCCGCAGAGAUCAACGCUACUUACACGAGUUUGAAGUUGGGGGAACAGUCAGUGUACAAUGAAAUACAAAGUCGCGAUGUUCGGAAGCAUACAGCCUGAACAAGAACAAACUGAAGUCAGCCAGGAUCUGAACAGUGUUUCACUCUCCAUUUGGCCCGAAUCUUUCAUUUCAAUUUCAUGAGAGUCCUGAAAGAAACAUCGUCCUCAAAGACAAGGCAAUAUUAAAAUCUCUGACUAUUUAAUACUGCACUAUAUUUCUGUGCUUUAAGUCGAGUAUUGGGAUAUGUCCCACUUGGGAACCCAAUGAACUCAGAUAUCUUUAUGUCUACCUUUCCCAACAUUUAGAUAAUUUCAAAUUGAAAUUCAAUCGGACAAUCUGAUGACAAAGCCAGUAUUUGUUGCCCAGAGUUAACCACAUUGCUGUGAGUCUGGAGUCACAUGUAGGAAGCAUGGCAGUUUCCUUCCUGAAGGACAUUAGUGAACCAGAUGGGUUUUGACCCAACAAUCAGGUUAUAAGCCUCAUUAAUUCCAGAUUUUCGUUGAAUCGAAAUUCCGCCAUCUGCCCUGGCUGGACUUGAACCAGGUCCCCCCAGAACACUAGGAGAAAGUGAGGACUGCAGAUGCUGGAGAUCAGAAUCGAGAGUGUG
Molecule: non-coding RNA, 728 nt
Organism: Chiloscyllium plagiosum (whitespotted bambooshark)
Lineage: Eukaryota; Metazoa; Chordata; Chondrichthyes; Orectolobiformes; Hemiscylliidae
Source: RefSeq, a predicted model, not a curated record